GCUCAAAAAAUCAAACAGGCCAUCAUCCACCCCGACACCAACGAGACCAUCUUCAUGCCUUUCCGAAUGUCAGGUUACAUUCCCUUUGGAACCCCCAUUGUGAGUAUUUGGUUGUGGGGUCCCCAGCAAUGAAU
Molecule: non-coding RNA, 134 nt
Organism: Sturnus vulgaris (Common starling)
Lineage: Eukaryota; Metazoa; Chordata; Aves; Passeriformes; Sturnidae
Source: RefSeq, a predicted model, not a curated record